CUUGCUCCUGCUCAUCCUCCUCCUCCUCCUUCCUCCAUCCUCCUUGCACAUUUCCGCAUUCCACACUCCUAAUGAGGGGACCAACUCUUUUCAGGACGAAACGAUGAGUGAAGAAAAAUAUCGCAUCCCUUUCCCAGGUCAUUCUCUUUAACUUUCGCUCAUCCCUCAAGUCAUCGCUCACACCUUCAGUCUUUAAACGCUUCAAACACCUUUUUCUUUUCUUUUUUUUAACUCCGGAAAAGGUCGUGAAAAGGCAAGGCAAGGACAGGACAGGUGAGAUCAUCCAAGUUGUCAUUAGGAAAAGGUCAGGUAGGCAGGUAGGUCGGAAGGUCAGUCACACAGGUAAGGGGGGCUAAAAGGUUAAUGGUGGUAGGUUGUCGGCAGGUUGGGGCAGGUCAAGGCAGGUGCGAAAAAUGUGGUCAUCAGGAAGGUUUUCAAGUUCACUUUCAUAUAACACUGAAUGGAUUUUUUUUUGUAUAUAUAUAUUUUUUUAUCCGUUCGUCUGUCCUGUCCAUUUCCGAUUAUCCGUUUUUUUUUUAGUUUUGUCUUCGUAUUCAUUUUUUCCCCUUUUCUUUCUUUCUGUUCCUCCUGUUUUUUUUCUAAGUAUUGUCUACGUAUGAUUUUUUUUUUCCCUUUUCUUUCUUUCUGUUCCUCCUGUUGUUUUAUUUUCUCCCUUUAUUCUGCCUGUAACUACUUCCGUUUUCUCCUGUUCCUCCUCCUCUUGUUGAUUCCUGUUCUUCCUGUUCCUUUGUUUCCUCUUCUUCCUCCUGUUUUUUUUCCUCCUGUUCCUUGUUUUCCUCCUGUCAAAAGCGAGGAUGAAAAUGGCGAAGGGAAAAAGAGAAUGAAGAUGAUGAAGGGGUCAAUGAAGGUCAAGCUGGGUCAAAAUCGAGAAAGAAAACGGCGGAAAAAGAGGAUGAAGAUCAAGCUAGGUCAAAAUGAUAAGGAAAAAAAAAAGCUGGAAAAGAUGGUCAAAACUGAGGAGGUUGCCCGUAGAGUUAGGUCAAGCUAGGUCAAAAUGAUGAGAGGGGAAAGAAAAGCUGAAAAAAGAUGGUCAAGACUGAGGUGUUAGGUUAAUCUGAGUCAAACUAGGUCACCGGCGUCAGAAGCGAAGUCAAGUGGGUAAGAAGAGUCUGCAGGUGAAGCGAGGUCAAGGUAUGCGAGGAGGAGUCAAGGUGGGACAGGAAGGCAAGGGGAUGAAGGCAGGAUGAAGGGAGGAAGCGGCCGAGUAAGUCAAGGGUGGAUCGGUUACGUUUGUCUUUUUACCUUCCUUUCCUUUCCUUUUUUUUCUUUAUUAUUAUUAUUUUUUUCGUAUUUUCAUUGUUUUUUUUUGUUCUCUCCUUCAUUUCUUUUAUGUAGUUGUUUUCCUCUUCUUCUUCUUCUUCCCUUUUUUUUUCUUUCUUUCGCUUUUAUUAACUUUUUUCUUAUUUUGAUUCAUUUUUGUUGUUCUUUUCCUUAAUUCAGUUGUCUUUUCCCUUCCUUUCCUUCUUUUCCUUUUUUUUCUUUCUCUUUUAUUCAUAUUUUUCUUAUUUUCAUAGUUUUUUGUUCUUCUUUUUCUUCAUUAAGUCGUCGUCUUCUUCUUCUUCUUCCUUUGCUUUUCUUUCUUUCUUUCUUUCUUUUUUAUUAUUUUUUCGUGUUUUCAUUGUUUUUUUUUGUUCUUUUCCUUCUUUUCCUUUUUUGAUUUCUUUCUUUCUCUUUUAUUCAUUUUUUUCGUAUUUUCAUUUGUUUUUUUUGUUCUCUCCUUAUUUUUCUUUAUUCAGUUUUCUUCUUCUUCUCCUUCUCUUCUUUCUUUCUUUCUCUUUCCUUUUUAUUUUUUGUAUUUUUGAUUGGUUGUUUGUUUUUCUCCUUUUCGUUUUCUCUUUUUCUUGGUUUUCUUUCUCUUUUUCCCUUCUCUCAGUCGUGUCUCAUUUUCCUUCCCUUUCUCUUCUUUCUUUCUUUCUCUUUUAUUCGUUUUCUUCUCUUUUCACUGGUUCUUUGUUUUUCCUCCUUUUAGUUUUCUCUCUCCUGGUUUUCUUUCUUUUCUCUCCUUCUCUCUGUCCUCAUUCCAAUUAUCUUCCCUUUCCUGAUGUCAUUUCCUGUCAUGCUCAUUAUCUUUUGUGCCUAUUUCCUCUUCCUUCCUUCCUUCCUUCCUGUCUUCAUUGCUUCUCUCCUUCCUAUUAACCUUUCUUUCUUUUUUCCGUUUCUCCUUUUUCCUAUCAUUUUUAUUUCACUCUCUCCUCUUCUAUUCUUCGUUACCUGUCACCUUUCCCUUCUUUCCCUCAAUCCUUCCUUCUUUCUCUUCUUUCACCUCUCCCUUCUUCUUUUCUUUAAUCUUUAUCGACUUUCUUCCUUGCUCUCCUUUAUCCUUUAUUCACCUCCCUUCUUCUAUUCUUCCGUCUCCAUCGACUUCUUUCCUUUCUGUUUCAUUCUUCUUUCAAUCUCUUUUCUCUUUUUCUUUUUUCCUUUUCGACUUGCCUCCUUUCCUUCCCUCACCCUCUCCUUUCUUCUCCUCUUCCUUUCCUAUGUUAUCUACUUUUUUCAUUUCUAUCCUUCAUCCUUUCUUCACCCUCUCCCUUCUCCUCUUCCACCCCUUUCAACGUCCCGCUUUUCCAUUCUUCAUCCUUCCUUUUACUUCUCCCUUCUUCUCACGUUCCCUCAUGCACAAACUCUCCCUUUUUUCCAUCGUUUCCUUCUUCCUCCUCUCCCUCCCUCGCUCCCUGACCUUUCCCUCCUCUUUCAGACAGGCAAACACAACAACAACACACACAAACACACACACACACACACACACACACACACACAGAUCCCCGGACUAACGCAAAACUAACCUAACACAAUACAUUUUUCAACAUCGACGCCCCGACACACGCCUUGCCUUCCCUUCCCUUGCCUUGCCUUGCUCCCCACACAGACUCCUAAAAAAUGAAGACUAACAUUCCACCACUCCACGGAGGCAAAGGAGCUGUUGUCCGUCCCUCCCCCUCUCCCCUGACCCUCCCUUGCCCCCCUUCCCUUCUCACUGGCGGCGGUACUUGGCUCACGAAAUUUAACUGGAGCGGAACACGGCGCGGUGCUAGUCUCCACACCUUCACGGCCCUAGAUUCAAGGUAUUAAGCAUCAUCAGGACAGACAAACACACCGGGAUGGGUCGGAAUGGGUCUCGCCACAAAGCCACAACGGAAAACGCCGCCGCCCAGACCCCGACGCGACAAAAAAUGAAGGAAAAAAAAAAACACGGCCGGCUCUUAUUUUCCUUUUCACCCCACUCUGGCAACCGUGCCCGACUCAGACUCCCGGUGACGUCACGCUGACGUCAGUGCCUCCACCAAACGGCUGCAGCAGUACUGGAAAAACAUGGAGGGAGGGGAGGAGCAGGA
This is a long non-coding RNA of Eriocheir sinensis (Chinese mitten crab), 3353 nucleotides long. RefSeq lists it as uncharacterized. The transcript has 2 exons. Lineage: Eukaryota; Metazoa; Arthropoda; Malacostraca; Decapoda; Varunidae. The record is from RefSeq and is a predicted model, not a curated record.